AUGACCUUCAUCAUCAUCUUCAUCUGGACUCUCACAGCGUUUGCUCAAGAGAGUAGAGGACAGAUCAGCGUCACUCAGAGUCCCUCAACAGCAGCUCAACCAGGAGAAACAGUGAAGAUCAGCUGCAAAACCAGCAAAGAUGUGUACAGUGAUGGUGCAGGGGUUUAUUUAUUCUGGUAUUUACAGAAACCUGGAGAAGCUCCUAAACUCAUGAUACGAUUUGUAAAAACGCUUGAGUCAGGAACUCCAUCUAGAUUCAGUGGCAGUGGAUCUAACAGUGAUUUCACUCUGACCAUCAGUGGAGUCCAGACUGAAGAUGCUGGACAUUAUUACUGUCAGAGUGUACACUACAUCAGUAGUAGCUGGGUGUUCACACAGUGAUAA
Molecule: non-coding RNA, 384 nt
Organism: Carassius auratus (goldfish)
Lineage: Eukaryota; Metazoa; Chordata; Actinopteri; Cypriniformes; Cyprinidae
Source: the annotation of a RefSeq genome assembly